RNAcentral lists this ribosomal RNA (507 nucleotides) under uncultured Glomeraceae. Its description in RNAcentral is "SSU rRNA". It matches the Rfam family "Eukaryotic small subunit ribosomal RNA", at positions 569 to 1078 of the family's 1831-position model. The record is from RNAcentral. Lineage: Eukaryota; Fungi; Glomeromycota; Glomeromycetes; Glomerales; Glomeraceae.
AGCAGCCGCGGUAAUUCCAGCUCCAAUAGCGUAUAUUAAAGUUGUUGCAGUUAAAAAGCUCGUAGUUGAAUUUCGGGAUCAAUUAAUUGGUCGCGCCUCUGGUACGUACUGAUUUUAUUGGUUUCUCCCUUCUGACGAACCAUGAUGUCAUUAAUUUGGUGUCGUGGAGAAUCAGGACUGUUACUUUGAAAAAAUUAGAGUGUUUAAAGCAAGCUAACGCUUGAAUACAUUAGCAUGGAAUAAUGAAAUAGGACGUUUGAUCCUAUUUUGUUGGUUUCUAGGAUCGACGUAAUGAUUAAUAGGGAUAGUUGGGGGCAUUAGUAUUCAAUUGUCAGAGGUGAAAUUCUUGGAUUUAUUGAAGACUAACUACUGCGAAAGCAUUUGCCAAGGAUGUUUUCAUUAAUCAAGAACGAAAGUUAGGGGAUCGAAGACGAUCAGAUACCGUCGUAGUCUUAACCAUAAACUAUGCCGACUAGGGAUCGGAUGAUGUUAAUUUUUAAUGACUCA